RNAcentral lists this ribosomal RNA (495 nucleotides) under uncultured bacterium. Its description in RNAcentral is "partial 16S ribosomal RNA". It matches the Rfam family "Bacterial small subunit ribosomal RNA", at positions 28 to 507 of the family's 1533-position model. The record is from RNAcentral.
GACGAACGCUGGCGGCGUGCCUAAUACAUGCAAGUAGAACGCUGAAGGAGGAGCUUGCUUCUCCGGAUGAGUUGCGAACGGGUGAGUAACGCGUAGGUAACCUGCCUGGUAGCGGGGGAUAACUAUUGGAAACGAUAGCUAAUACCGCAUAAGAGUAGAUGUCGCAUGACAUUUGCUUAAAAGGUGCAACUGCACCACUACCAGAUGGACCUGCGUUGUAUUAGCUAGUUGGUGAGGUAACGGCUCACCAAGGCAACGAUACAUAGCCGACCUGAGAGGGUGAUCGGCAACACUGGGACUGAGACACGGCCCAGACUCCUACGGGAGGCAGCAGUAGGGAAUCUUCGGCAAUGGACGGAAGUCUGACCGAGCAACGCCGCGUGAGUGAAGAAGGUUUUCGGAUCGUAAAGCUCUGUUGUAAGAGAAGAACGAGUGUGAGAGUGGAAAGUUCACACUGUGACGGUAUCUUACCAGAAAGGGACGGCUAACUACGUG